Gymnogyps californianus (California condor) is the source of this 1040-nucleotide long non-coding RNA. RefSeq lists it as uncharacterized. Lineage: Eukaryota; Metazoa; Chordata; Aves; Accipitriformes; Cathartidae. The transcript is spliced from 4 exons. The record is from RefSeq and is a predicted model, not a curated record.
UGAAAAGAAAAACUACUGUUGUCAUUAAUCAAACUUCAUCCUGAAGUUAAGAUACAAUUUAACAUAGUGGACUAGACCAAAACAUCGUGUAGGGUGAGAGGGAUUGCCCCUCAAAAUUUAUUUGCUGCUUAAAAGCUUUACGCUGUGUUCCACAGCAAGCAUUGCAGUUAUUCUCUUCUUUUGCCUGGCUGCCACUCGCUUAUCAUUCUUUCUGAUAUGACUCAUGUAGAAGGAUAUUUCACAUUAGACUGUUUUGUUACAUCUUUCCAUGAAAUGCUAGAACAUCAGUGCUUGCUCCAGGAAAAGUUGUAGGGAAAAAACCACAGCUGUAAAUACCCAUCGCAAACUGCAAAAAGCAUAGGAAUAGCCCUGCUAUCCUGGGAUGAGCACCUGCUCUUCAUUCCUCUACUUUGAAGUGUUCCAAGGUCUCCAGGGUCUCUCAGUGAAGAAAGUGGUUCUGUUCUGCUUACGAGCUAAGAACUGCAAACUUACAGCAUGAGUCAAUUCUUCAGAGGGAAGAAGGUGGGACCUGCAGAUAUGAAAAGGGUGUGGGUCAGAAGGCAGGAAGACAGUGAGCUGGCUGUCUCUUUUCUACCUUAAACCAGGCUGCUGUGAACACAAGAGGCUAUAUAUGCAGAUCAAGGUUACCAAGGGACAUAGACACCUCUGGCUUAAGUUAUUUUCCUUAUUAAACUGGCAAUGGAAGAAGUAAGCAGUGUAAAAUUCUCUAGAUCAACUCAAAAGCACUGAAAGAUCAUCCAUGCCCUGGAAAAUUAAAUUGGCUUUAUGGUCAGACAAUGCCCAGCAGUAUAAUCCAGAGACACAAGAGGAUUUGGAUUGUAAAGUACUCAAAUUAAAGGAGUGCUUGUAUUCUGGGAGUUUGAUUCUUCCUACCACAAAUGGUGUUUGGUUCUGGGAUUUUUGUUUGGACCUGCCUGUGCCUCUUACAAAACCAAAACAAGCAAGCUGUCAUUUUUACAAAAGCCCAGAUGUAUUUUCAUUUUUUGCAAAGACAGACAAACAUCAGUACUAAGAUAUUA